RNAcentral lists this ribosomal RNA (380 nucleotides) under Hemicycla sp. MN-2010. RNAcentral's name for it is "partial 16S ribosomal RNA". It matches the Rfam family "Bacterial large subunit ribosomal RNA", at positions 1855 to 2596 of the family's 2925-position model. Lineage: Eukaryota; Metazoa; Mollusca; Gastropoda; Stylommatophora; Helicidae. The record is from RNAcentral.
AUUUCUGCUCAAUGAUGUGUUAAAUAGCCGCAGUACUCUGACUGUGCAAAGGUAGCAUAAUCAGUUGGCUCCUAAAUAGAGUCUGGAAUGAACGAAUAUAUGAAGAACAGCUGUCUUAAAGUAUUUAAAUGAAAUUGGUUGUAGGUGAAAAUCCCUACAUACUUCUAAAAGACGAGAAGACCCUAGAAACUUAUAUAAUUGUUUUGUUGGGGCGACAAAUUUACAUAAAAACUAAUUUUUAAUUAACAUGGCGAUUUCAGAUAGAUAAAGUUACUCUAGGGAUAACAGCAUAAUAUUUUUUUGUUUGUGACCUCGAUGUUGGACUAGGUAAAGUAUUCUUUAGAAGAGAAUAUAUAUGCUCUGUUCGAGCAGGAGAACCU